This 401-nucleotide ribosomal RNA is filed under the name uncultured bacterium. Its description in RNAcentral is "bacterial SSU rRNA". It matches the Rfam family "Bacterial small subunit ribosomal RNA", at positions 30 to 433 of the family's 1533-position model. The record is from RNAcentral.
AUUGAACGCUGGCGGCAUGCCUUACACAUGCAAGUCGAACGGCAGCACGGGAGCAAUCCUGGUGGCGAGUGGCGAACGGGUGAGUAAUAUAUCGGAACGUGCCCAGUCGUGGGGAUAACGUAGCGAAAGCUACGCUAAUACCGCAUACGAUCUAUGGAUGAAAGCGGGGGAUCGCAAGACCUCGCGCGAUUGGAGCGGCCGAUAUCAGAUUAGGUAGUUGGUGAGGUAAAGGCUCACCAAGCCGACGAUCUGUAGCUGGUCUGAGAGGACGACCAGCCACACUGGGACUGAGACACGGCCCAGACUCCUACGGGAGGCAGCAGUGGGAAUUUUGGACAAUGGGCGCAAGCCUGAUCCAGCAAUGCCGCGUGCAGGAUGAAGGCCUUCGGGUUGUUAAACGU